GGUGACCUCGGAUUGCAGGUAGGGA
RNAcentral lists this ribosomal RNA (25 nucleotides) under Pseudocercospora rosae. Its description in RNAcentral is "partial 28S ribosomal RNA". The record is from RNAcentral. Lineage: Eukaryota; Fungi; Ascomycota; Dothideomycetes; Mycosphaerellales; Mycosphaerellaceae.